This 546-nucleotide long non-coding RNA is filed under the name Lupinus mutabilis. Its description in RNAcentral is "partial ncRNA". The record is from RNAcentral. Lineage: Eukaryota; Viridiplantae; Streptophyta; Magnoliopsida; Fabales; Fabaceae.
CGGAAAAUGAGUGAAUCUUUCUCUUCCAACUGUGCAAAAGAGGUUGAUACCUCCAUAAGCUUCAAGAGAUCUGACUCUCAAAUGCACAAUGCCCUAAAAUCUCUGGAUCUAAGCGAUAGUUCAGAAGAAAGGGCUUCAGAAGCUUCGACUCAAGCAUCUCCUCUUGUUUUUGAAACCGUCUUGUUUCGUUUUCAAGAAAUGCUUGUAGCUCAACUUAGCCAGCUAAAGUCAUCCUUGGAUGAUCAAUCAAAAAGGCUAAGUCGACUUGAAGAAAGAGUUGACAGUUGGAUCUCUCUCUCGGAGAUCCUUACAAAAGGCGUGGAAGACUCUAAUAGCUACUCUAACUCGGAGUCAUAGGAGUCUCUUCAAAAGCAGCGUCCUUUUGUGUCUCUUUUUCUUUUUCUUUUCUUGUUUUUUUUAUCAUCCUGUUUUAUUUUGUCUUGGGCUUGAUCUGUAAAUUUGGAAACACUACUCGUGACCAAAUCAUCAAGCACCAAAUCUUUCUGAUGACUAAAAACAAAAGGUCAAAAGCUUUUUGACCUAAGU